GUGCUUGCUUUGGCAGCACACAUACUAAAAUUGGAACAAUACAGAGAAGAUUAGCAUGGCCCUUGUGCAAGGAUGACAUGCAAAUUCAUGAAGUGUUCCAUAUUUUU
Small nuclear RNA from Marmota marmota marmota (Alpine marmot), 107 nucleotides. Lineage: Eukaryota; Metazoa; Chordata; Mammalia; Rodentia; Sciuridae. The record is from Ensembl.